CAUCAAGUGCUUGAUGUAAACUAGGACAAUUGUUAACUUAUUAAUUGUUAGUUAACUUAACUAUUAUUCUGUCAUUUGAAUUUUUAGCAAAUAUAUGCUUAGCACACUUCACAGAAGAUUUGUUUGUGAGAAGUAAGAAGAUUUGACCUCCUAUGGAUAUUUGAAGACGGUCGCUUUUGCCGAAUGCAGUUCCAACAUUAUUGUUACCAAAAACGGAAAAUAGUGACAAUGAAAGUAAUAUGGACUUCAAAGUCAUAGCCGAAGAUUUUCCGCUUCCCGUCAUCCACGAAAAUGUACAUGCAGUCUUCCGAGUUACUCGUCAGCCCUGAUGAUCCAUCGAAUAUACAGGAAUGUAUGAUAGAUGUAGAAUCACCAAGGUCGAUUUAGAAGUAAUCGAAGGCUGGAGGAAACAUAUGCAAUGUGUCGAACGCCAUCAAAAUCAAGAAAAAAAU
Solenopsis invicta (red fire ant) is the source of this 452-nucleotide long non-coding RNA. RefSeq lists it as uncharacterized. Lineage: Eukaryota; Metazoa; Arthropoda; Insecta; Hymenoptera; Formicidae. The transcript is spliced from 3 exons. The record is from RefSeq and is a predicted model, not a curated record.